AGAGUUUGAUCCUGGCUCAGGACGAACGCUGGCGGCACGCUUAACACAUGCAAGUCGAACGAGAGAAGAGGAGCUUGCUUUUCUGAUCUAGUGGCGGACGGGUGAGUAACACGUGAGCAAUCUGCCUUUCAGAGGGGGAUACCGAUUGGAAACGAUCGUUAAUACCGCAUAACAUAAUUGAACCGCAUGAUUUGAUUAUCAAAGAUUUAUCGCUGAAAGAUGAGCUCGCGUCUGAUUAGCUAGUUGGUAAGGUAACGGCUUACCAAGGCGACGAUCAGUAGCCGGACUGAGAGGUUGAUCGGCCACAUUGGGACUGAGACACGGCCCUGACUCCUACGGGAGGCAGCAGUGGGGAAUAUUGCACAAUGGAGGAAACUCUGAUGCAGCGAUGCCGCGUGAGGGAAGAAGGUUUUAGGAUUGUAAACCUCUGUCUUCAGGGACGAAAAAAGACGGUACCUGAGGAGGAAGCUCCGGCUAACUACGUGCCAGCAGCCGCGGUAAUACGUAGGGAGCGAGCGUUGUCCGGAAUUACUGGGUGUAAAGGGAGCGUAGGCGGGAUCGCAAGUCAGAUGUGAAAACUAUGGGCUUAACCCAUAAACUGCAUUUGAAACUGUGGUUCUUGAGUGAAGUAGAGGUAAGCGGAAUUCCUAGUGUAGCGGUGAAAUGCGUAGAUAUUAGGAGGAACAUCAGUGGCGAAGGCGGCUUACUGGGCUUUAACUGACGCUGAGGCUCGAAAGCGUGGGGAGCAAACAGGAUUAGAUACCCUGGUAGUCCACGCCGUAAACGAUGAUUACUAGGUGUGGGGGGACUGACCCCUUCCGUGCCGCAGCAAACGCAAUAAGUAAUCCACCUGGGGAGUACGACCGCAAGGUUGAAACUCAAAGGAAUUGACGGGGGCCCGCACAAGCAGUGGAGUAUGUGGAUUAAUUCGAAGCAACGCGAAGAACCUUACCAGGUCUUGACAUCGUAUGCAUAGCUCAGAGAUGAGUGAAAUCUCUUCGGAGACAUAUAGACAGGUGGUGCAUGGUUGUCGUCAGCCCGUGUCGUGAGAUGUUGGGUUAAGUCCCGCAACGAGCGCAACCCUUACUGUUAGUUGCUACGCAAGAGCACUCUAGCAGGACUGCCGUUGACAAAACGGAGGAAGGUGGGGAUGACGUCAAAUCAUCAUGCCCCUUAUGACCUGGGUCUCACACGUACUACAAUGGCUGUCAACGGAGGGAAGCAAAGCCGCGAGGUGGAGCGAACCCCUAAAAGCAGUCUUAGUUCGGAUUGUAGGCUGCAACCCGCCUACAUGAAGUCGGAAUUGCUAGUAAUCGCAGAUCAGCAUGCUGCGGUGAAUACGUUCCCGGGCCUUGUACACACCGCCCGUCACGCCAUGGGAGUCGGUAACACCCGAAGCCUGUAGUCUAACCGCAAGGAGGACGCAGUCGAAGGUGGGAUUGAUGACUGGGGUGAAGUCGUAACAAGGUA
This 1470-nucleotide ribosomal RNA is filed under the name metagenome. RNAcentral describes it as "bacterial SSU rRNA". It matches the Rfam family "Bacterial small subunit ribosomal RNA". The record is from RNAcentral.